UGGUCUAGGUAUAAGCAAUUAUACCGUGAAACUGCGAAUGGCUCAUUAAAUCAGUUAUCGUUUAUUUGAUAGUACCUUACUACUUGGAUAACCGUGGUAAUUCUAGAGCUAAUACAUGCUAAAAACCCCAACUUCGGGAGGGGUGUAUUUAUUAGAUAAAAAACCAAUGCCCUUCGGGGCUCCUUGGUGAUUCAUAAUAACUUAACGGAUCGCAUGGCCUUGCGCCGGCGACGGUUCAUUCAAAUUUCUGCCCUAUCAACUUUCGAUGGUAAGGUAUUGGCUUACCAUGGUUUCAACGGGUAACGGGGAAUUAGGGUUCGAUUCCGGAGAGGGAGCCUGAGAAACGGCUACCACAUCCAAGGAAGGCAGCAGGCGCGCAAAUUACCCAAUCCCGACACGGGGAGGUAGUGACAAUAAAUACUGAUACAGGGCUCUUUUGGGUCUUGUAAUCGGAAUGAGUACAAUUUAAACCCCUUAACGAGGAACAAUUGGAGGGCAAGUCUGGUGAACUUCAGUUCUAUUCUGCUGACGCCAGGAUAGUCGGGCGCUCUUGCGUAGAGCGUUAUGCCGGCUAGUCGAGCACCCCACGACUCUGAUAGGGUGGGUGCCGGCGAGACAACCUGGAUCGGGGGAGGCUUAAUUGGGUCCGCGCCAAAAACGCGGACUACGCCAAUCCCGAGCAGAGCUUCCUGGGAGCGAUCCCUUGAGGCCUGUGUAGAGCACGCUAAGGUGUCGGGCGGUUCACUGAGCCGCCUUGAGGGACGUGCCAUUCCCAUCCGAAAGGGUGGCCGCCAGCAAUAGCGCCUAUCACGCGAAGGCUGAGUGGGUUUCGGGGUAGCCGUUCGAAAACGGGCGGAUACCCUGGGAGAAAGAAGGCCAGCAGCCGCGGUAAUUCCAGCUCCAAUAGCGUAUAUUAAAUUGCAGUUAAAAAGCUCGUAGUUGAACCUUGGGCCUGGCUGNGCCGGUCCGCCUCACCGCGUGUACUGGUCCGGCCGGGCCUUUCCUUCUGGAGAUCCUCAUGCCCUUCACUGGGUGUGUUGGGGAACCAGGACUUUUACUGUGAACAAAUUAGAGUGUUCAAAGCAGGCCUUUGCUCGAAUACAUUAGCAUGGAAUAAUAGAAUAGGACGUGCGGUCCUAUUUUGUUGGUUUCUAGGACCGCCGUAAUGAUUAAUAGGGAUAGUCGGGGGCAUCAGUAUUCAAUUGUCAGAGGUGAAAUUCUUGGAUUUAUUGAAGACUAACUACUGCGAAAGCAUUUGCCAAGGAUGUUUUCAUUAAUCAGUGAACGAAAGUUAGGGGAUCGAAGACGAUCAGAUACCGUCGUAGUCUUAACCGUAAACUAUGCCGACUAGGGAUCGGGCGAUGUUUCUAUCUUGACUCGCUCGGCACCUUACGAGAAAUCAAAGUUUUUGGGUCUGG
Molecule: ribosomal RNA, 1418 nt
Filed under: Nigrograna heveae
Lineage: Eukaryota; Fungi; Ascomycota; Dothideomycetes; Pleosporales; Nigrogranaceae
Description: Nigrograna sp. RFX-2022a partial small subunit ribosomal RNA
Rfam family: Eukaryotic small subunit ribosomal RNA
Source: RNAcentral